AGACUUCGCUGCAGAAGCGGACUAACUACCCCGGAGGUGCUCACUAAAGCUCCCGCGCACCGCUGUUCACGCUGAAUGCUUUAAAGUACCGGAGCAGCCCGGGAACAGCACGGUGCGCAGGCGCUACGCCGGGGCGGCCGGGCCACUGCGCACGCGCCCGCUCUCCCAAGCGGAAAGGACAGGGCCCGGCGGGGCAGGGUGUGGGGGUUGCUGCUGGGUCUGCGCUCUCGACUCUCCUGCGGCCGCUGCGCCACGGCUGAACCGGGUGCGGGUGGUGAUGGAGUCUGGUGAUACCAGUGCCCCGAGACCGCACUGUGUACUCGCUCGUGCCUGUCAGAGGAGAGGCAACCCCACCCUCAAGGCCUGUGAGGCCGCCGAAAAAUCCGACGGCUUGCACAAGUGACGGGCAUGUAGCGCCAGGGUCCCGGCUCAGGCAGGCGGAGGGCGGGGCGUCCCAAUCCAGCCCGCGUCCCCGACGCAAGGCCCGGAGGACGGUGUGGGGGCGAUGCUCGCCUCGGCGAACUCGCUAGCGAUCGGCAGUCCUCGGUGGCCACUAGGGCGCGGAGCUCUUGGGGGCGGGGACCGCGCUGCCGCGAGCCCGGCGCUCUAGCGUCAGCCUCAGCGCACCCCGCGUUACCCGGCAACCCACACCCGCCCGGGCGGUCCUGCUGCCCUCGGUCUGAGCAACUUCAGUGCUGGCUAAUCAGACGACACCAUCCUCGGGUUGCUGAUCUUUCUGGAAAGUUUUAACUGUGGAGGAGAAAGGAAACGUCUUAGCUUUAGAAGCUAGGCCUGCCUUGAGGGAGUGGCAGACAGGUUGAGAGGCCUGGAUUUCUACGAAGUAGAGAGGAGGCCGGAGGAACAUAACAGGUCCUGAGGGCUUCUGAACCCCAACCAGGUCAGCCCAGAACGGCUGCACCCAACACGUCCCUUGGAAGGGAAGAAGCGGAGGAGCUUCAAGAUGGUGGAAGAGUAAGACGUGGAGAUCACCUUCCUCCCCACAAAUACAUCAAAAAUACAUCUACAUGUGGAACAACUCCUUCAGAACACCUACUGAACGCUGGCAGAAGACCUCAGACCUCCCAAAAGGCAAGAAACUCCCCAUGUACCUGGGUAGGGCAAACGAAAAAAGAAAAAACAGAGACAAAAGAAUAGGGACGGGACCUGCACCAGUGGGAGGGAGCUGUGAAGGAGGAAAGGUUUCCACACACUAGAAGCCCCUUCGUGGGCAGAGACUGCAGGUGGUAGAGCGGGUAAGCUUCGGAGCCAUGGAGGAGAGUGCAGCAACAGGGGUGUGGAGGGCAAAGCGGAGAGAUUCCCGCACAGAGGAUCGGUGCCGACCAGCACUCACCAGCCUGAGAGGCUUGUCUGCUCACCUGCCGGGGCGGGCUGGGGCUGGGAGCUGAGGCUUGGGCUUCAGAGGUCAGACCCCAGGGAGAGGACUGGGGUUGGCUGCGUGAACACAGCCUGAAGGGGGCUAGUGUGCCACAGCUAGCUGAGAGGGAGUCUGGGAAAAGGUCUGAAGCUGCCAAAGAGACAAGAGACUUUUUCUUACCUCUUUGUUUCCUGGUGCGCGAGGAGAGGGGAUUAAGAGCGCCACUUAAAGGAGCUCCAGAGACGGGUGCGAGCCGCGGCUAUCAGCGCGGACACCAGAGACUGGCAUGAG
Molecule: long non-coding RNA, 1666 nt
Organism: Physeter macrocephalus (sperm whale)
Lineage: Eukaryota; Metazoa; Chordata; Mammalia; Artiodactyla; Physeteridae
Exons: 3
Source: RefSeq, a predicted model, not a curated record